GGGUUGUGAGGUUAAGCGACUAAGCGUACACGGUGGAUGCCUAGGCAAUCAGAGGCGAUGAAGGACGUGCUAAUCUGCGAUAAGCGUCGGUAAGGUGAUAUGAACCGUUAUACCCGACGAUUUCCGAAUGGGGAAACCCAGUGCAAUUCGUUGCACUAUCGUUUGAUGAAUACAUAGUCAAACGAAGCGAACCGGGGGAACUGAAACAUCUCAGUACCCCGAGGAAAAGAAAUCAACCGAGAUUCCCCUAGUAGCGGCGAGCGAACGGGGAGCAGCCCAGAGUCUUAAUCAGCAUUAGUAUCAGGAGAACGGUCUGGAAAGUCCGGCAGUAAAGGGUGAUAGCCCCGUAUCUGAAGAUAUUAGUGUUGUGAACUCGACGAGUAGGGCGGGACACGUGUUAUCCUGUCUGAAUAUGGGGGGACCAUCCUCCAAGGCUAAAUACUCCUGAUUGACCGAUAGUGAACCAGUACCGUGAGGGAAAGGCGAAAAGAACCCCGGCGAGGGGAGUGAAAUAGAACCUGAAACCGUGUACGUACAAGCAGUGGGAGCCUUGAUUUAUCAGGGUGACUGCGUACCUUUUGUAUAAUGGGUCAGCGACUUAUAUUCUGUAGCA
This 613-nucleotide ribosomal RNA is filed under the name Vibrio parahaemolyticus. RNAcentral describes it as "partial 23S ribosomal RNA". It matches the Rfam family "Bacterial large subunit ribosomal RNA", at positions 1 to 642 of the family's 2925-position model. Lineage: Bacteria; Pseudomonadati; Pseudomonadota; Gammaproteobacteria; Vibrionales; Vibrionaceae. The record is from RNAcentral.